RNAcentral lists this ribosomal RNA (710 nucleotides) under uncultured bacterium. Its description in RNAcentral is "bacterial SSU rRNA". It matches the Rfam family "Bacterial small subunit ribosomal RNA", at positions 9 to 698 of the family's 1533-position model. The record is from RNAcentral.
GAGUUUGAUCCUGGCUCAGAACGAACGCUGGCGGCGUGCCUAACACAUGCAAGUCGAACGUGAUCCGCCCUUCGGGGUGGUGAAAGUGGCGCACGGGUGAGUAACGCGUGGAUAAUCUGCCCGAGGAUUUGGGAUAACAUCUCGAAAGGGGUGCUAAUACCGAAUAAGCCCACGGGGUCUACGGAUCUUGCGGGAAAAGGGGGGGACCUUCGGGCCUCCUGUCCUUGGAUGAGUCUGCGUACCAUUAGCUAGUUGGUGGGGUAAUGGCCUACCAAGGCGACGAUGGUUAGCUGGUCUGAGAGGAUGAUCAGCCACACUGGAACUGAGACACGGUCCAGACUCCUACGGGAGGCAGCAGUGGGGAAUUUUGCGCAAUGGGGGAAACCCUGACGCAGCAACGCCGCGUGGGUGAUGAAGGCCUUCGGGUCGUAAAGCUCUGUCUGGAGGGAAGAAAUGAUUGGGAGCUAAUACCUCUUGAUCUUGACGGUACCUCUGAAGGAAGCACCGGCUAACUCCGUGCCAGCAGCCGCGGUAAUACGGAGGGUGCAAGCGUUGUUCGGAAUUAUUGGGCGUAAAGCGCGUGUAGGCGGUCUUUUAAGUCUGAUGUGAAAGCCCCGGGCUCAACCUGGGAAGUGCAUUGGAAACUGGGAGGCUUGAGUACGGGAGAGGAGAGUGGAAUUCCUAGUGUAGGAGUGAAAUCCGUAGAUAUU